GUACUGAUGAAGAAGAGUCCCAAACUAGGACGAAACAGCUGUCCAGUAC
RNAcentral lists this non-coding RNA (49 nucleotides) under Trichobilharzia regenti. Lineage: Eukaryota; Metazoa; Platyhelminthes; Trematoda; Strigeidida; Schistosomatidae. The record is from RNAcentral.